Molecule: long non-coding RNA, 322 nt
Organism: Vespula pensylvanica (western yellowjacket)
Lineage: Eukaryota; Metazoa; Arthropoda; Insecta; Hymenoptera; Vespidae
Exons: 2
Source: RefSeq, a predicted model, not a curated record
ACUAUACACAGCAGGUAAGGGCCAAAAAAGGGUACCUUAAUUUUACGUAACAGGAACUCUUCAAAGAGAAUUCAUUUUCCCGAGGCCCGUAGUUCGUGAAACGUAAGAAGUGCCUCACGUCAUGCAGUGAUCCGUGCUGGACAAGACGCAUUUGUUCGAUGAUAAAUGCAUAGAAAAUAAUAAAAAUAAUUGAUACAUAUAAGGACUAAUCUAUAAAUUUGCGACAAAAAAUGAUUUUGCCAAAUGUUUUUUUUUUUAAUAAUUAGUGCAUAUUUAUAUAUUAUAUUAUUAGAAAUUAAAACAUGAGUUCACUUUCACACUA